This 507-nucleotide ribosomal RNA is filed under the name Pyrenophora tritici-repentis. RNAcentral's name for it is "eukaryotic LSU rRNA". The stretch from base 175 to 328 matches the Rfam family "5.8S ribosomal RNA". Lineage: Eukaryota; Fungi; Ascomycota; Dothideomycetes; Pleosporales; Pleosporaceae. The record is from RNAcentral.
UAUGAAGCCGGACUGGGAAUAGGGCCUCGCUGCCUUGCCCGUCUGGCGCCAUAUUCACCCAUGUCUUUUUGCGUACUACUUGUUUCCUUGGCGGGUCCGCCCGCCAAUUGGACCUUAUUCAAACCUUUUUUUUCAGUUGCAAUCAGCGUCAGCAAAACAAAUGUAAUCAAUUACAACUUUCAACAACGGAUCUCUUGGUUCUGGCAUCGAUGAAGAACGCAGCGAAAUGCGAUAAGUAGUGUGAAUUGCAGAAUUCAGUGAAUCAUCGAAUCUUUGAACGCACAUUGCGCCCUUUGGUAUUCCAAAGGGCAUGCCUGUUCGAGCGUCAUUUGUACCCUCAAGCUUUGCUUGGUGUUGGGCGUCUUGUCUCUCUCCCGAGACUCGCCUUAAAAUCAUUGGCAGCCGGCCUACUGGUUUCGGAGCGCAGCACAUUAUUUGCGCUCUUGUCCAGCCGCGGUCGCGCGUCCAUGAAGCUUCUUUCAACCUUUUGACCUCGGAUCAGGUAGG